Molecule: ribosomal RNA, 292 nt
Filed under: uncultured bacterium
Lineage: Bacteria
Description: partial 16S ribosomal RNA
Rfam family: Bacterial small subunit ribosomal RNA
Source: RNAcentral
GUGCCAGCAGCCGCGGUAAUACGUAGGGGACAAGCGUUGUCCGGAAUUAUUGGGCGUAAAGCGCGUGUAGGCGGCCAAGUAAGUCUUACGUGAAAUCCUGAGGCUCAACCUCAGGCCUGCGCGGGAUACUGCUUGGCUAGAGUCCGGAAGAGGAGAGUGGAAUUCCUGGUGUAGCGGUGGAAUGCGCAGAUAUCAGGAGGAACAUCCGUGGCGAAGGCGGCUCUCUGGGACGGUACUGACGCUGAGACGCGAAAGCGUGGGGAGCGAACAGGAUUAGAUACCCUGGUAGUCC